RNAcentral lists this ribosomal RNA (512 nucleotides) under uncultured bacterium. RNAcentral describes it as "bacterial SSU rRNA". It matches the Rfam family "Bacterial small subunit ribosomal RNA", at positions 28 to 526 of the family's 1533-position model. The record is from RNAcentral.
GACGAACGCUGGCGGCGUGCUUAACACAUGCAAGUGGAGCGACGAACCGGGGCUUGCCCCGGGGCAAAGCCGCGAACGGGUGAGUAACACGUGGGUAACCUACCCCGACGACCGGGACAACCCGAGGAAACUCGGGCUAAUACCGGAUGUGCUCUCCACGCUCAAGCGUGGUGAGUAAAGGAAGCUUCGGCCUCCGCAUCGGGAGGGGCCCGCGGCCCAUUAGCUUGUUGGUGAGGUAACGGCUCACCAAGGCGACGAUGGGUAGCUGGUCUGAGAGGACGAUCAGCCACACUGGGACUGAGACACGGCCCAGACUCCUACGGGAGGCAGCAGUGGGGAAUCUUGCGCAAUGCGCGAAAGCGUGACGCAGCAACGCCGCGUGGGGGAAGAAGGCCUUCGGGUUGUAAACCCCUUUCAGGAGGGACGAAGGUGCGGCGGCGAAUAGCCGUCCGUACUGACGGUACCUCCACAAGAAGCCCCGGCUAACUACGUGCCAGCCGCCGCCGUAACAC